Molecule: long non-coding RNA, 1189 nt
Organism: Symphalangus syndactylus (siamang)
Lineage: Eukaryota; Metazoa; Chordata; Mammalia; Primates; Hylobatidae
Source: RefSeq, a predicted model, not a curated record
GAUGUGCGGCACCCCUCUUCCCCAGGUAAUGGGCAUCCCAAAGGCGGAAGAGGUCCUGGGGAGAACUAUCUGGGCCCCUCCCAGCACCAAUCUGAAAGCCUCUAGGUCUUGGGAGGAUUAUGGAAGGGAAUUAACGCAUCCGUCUGCAGCUCAGAGGAAGAUGGGGUAACUGAGGCCCAAAGACGCUGACUUGUCCAGACGUUCAGUUGUGACCGUGUCAAGGACCCCUCUUCACCCACGAGCCUGCAAAGGGUGACUCCUUGGGCUUCAGGUGGAUUCAAGAUGGUCCCUUGGAUAUCCCAGAGCCCCAGACACCUGACACGAGACACACCUUGGCCUCUGAAAACCUGUGCUUCCUCCAGUCUCAACAAUCCACGCAAAAAAGCUCGAGUCACUCAGACCACCCCCACCAUCAACUCCCGUCCCUUUGGACUCCCCCUCCAGCAUCUCCCAGAUCCGUCCAUGUCUCCCCAUCCCUAACUGCCUUGGCCAUGCCAGGCCCCGUGGCCUCACCUGAUGGCUAAUCGUGGUCUCUUAACAGAUCUCUUCCACUCUCCCACUUCUCACUCACCCCACCCCACACACUACGUCAAGAGGAACCUCAUGCUGCAAGUCAGCUCAUUCCUUCACCCACUCAAUCACUAGGAAUUCGGUAAACAUUUGCUUGAACAAAAGAGGUGGGUCUUAGUCAUCAGAGCCUAUGGGCUGGCAAGGGAUCGGCUGUUAAACAAAUGAAGAGACAAUUGAAACUGAGGUGUAGGACAGGACCCCCCUGCCAUCCACCCCCCCACCAUAGCCCCACCUCUGCUCUCCAGGAUGCCCACAUUCCUGGGCAGCCCAUCUCACUGCUCCUCCCCACGAGAACCUCCCGGACUGUCCCUUUCCCCUCCACCUGGCUUCCUCCUCCUCGUUCUUCAGGGGCCUGUUCCUCUGUGUUCCCAGGGACCUGGUGCUCCAGCAGAGCGCCUACGCACUGUGCUAACUGCCUCGUUACUUGGCCUUCUUCAUCCCUGUGUCCCCGGUGCCUUGCUCCAUAGCUGGAUUCUAGGAGUGCUCAAAAAACAUUUGCACAAAGGCCAGGCGAAGUGGCUCAUGCCUGUAAUACCAGCACUUUGGGCGGCCAAGGUGGGAGGCUUUGAGGCCAGGAGUUUAAGACCCGCCUAGAAAACACAGUGAGACCUGUCCCUAC